CAUCAUAGUCUAUGCCAUAAACCUUUCCAUCUCCUUCAAAAGUUUCCUCCCGCCCCAGUUAUUUGUUAUUACGAUUGUGUGUGAUAAUAACAUCUCCAUGCUUAGCAAAUCUUAAGUAUAUACUGUAAUAUUGUUAACUAUGGUCAUUAUGCGUAUGGUACUUCUCAAGGGUUUUUCCAUCUUGCAUACCUGAAACUUCGUUCCCUUUGACCAAUACCUCCCCACUUCCCCCUCCCUUCAGCCCUUGGCAACCACCAUUCCACUUUCUGUUUCUAUGAGUUUGAUUAUUUUAGAUUCCUCAUAGAAGUGGUAUUAUGCAGUAUCUGUCCUCCUGUGCCUGGUUUAUUUCACUUAGCACACAUGCCCUCCAGUUCCUCCACGAUGCUGCAAAGAGCAGGAUUCCCUUCUUUGUAAAGGCGUAAAGGACACCACUUUGGAAUGGUG
RNAcentral lists this long non-coding RNA (444 nucleotides) under Homo sapiens (human). RNAcentral describes it as "non-protein coding lnc-SDR42E1-3:1". The record is from RNAcentral. Lineage: Eukaryota; Metazoa; Chordata; Mammalia; Primates; Hominidae.